GGAAGGAUGCCGGAGAGGCCAAACGGCGCUGUUUCGAAAACAGAUGGUCAUAGCAAUAUGGCGCGAGCGUUCGACUCGCUCUCCUUCCGCCA
Molecule: transfer RNA, 92 nt
Filed under: Pseudomonadota bacterium
Lineage: Bacteria; Pseudomonadati; Pseudomonadota
Also listed under: 1 other name
Description: tRNA-Ser
Source: RNAcentral